Molecule: ribosomal RNA, 1662 nt
Filed under: Staphylococcus epidermidis
Lineage: Bacteria; Bacillati; Bacillota; Bacilli; Caryophanales; Staphylococcaceae
Description: bacterial LSU rRNA
Rfam family: Bacterial large subunit ribosomal RNA
Source: RNAcentral
UGUGGAUUGUCCUUUGGACAAUGGUAGGAGAGCGUUCUAAGGGCGUCGAAGCAUGAUCGCAAGGACAUGUGGAGCGCUUAGAAGUGAGAAUGCCGGUGUGAGUAGCGAAAGACGGGUGAGAAUCCCGUCCACCGAUUGACUAAGGUUUCCAGAGGAAGGCUCGUCCGCUCUGGGUUAGUCGGGUCCUAAGCUGAGGCCGACAGGCGUAGGCGAUGGAUAACAGGUUGAUAUUCCUGUACCACCUAGUAUCGUUUUAAUCGAUGGGGGGACGCAGUAGGAUAGGCGAAGCGUGCUGUUGGAGUGCACGUCCAAGCAGUAAGGCUGAGUGUUAGGCAAAUCCGGCACUCAUAAGGCUGAGCUGUGAUGGGGAGAGGAAAUUGUUUCCUCGAGUCGUUGAUUUCACACUGCCGAGAAAAGCCUCUAGAUAGAUAACAGGUGCCCGUACCGCAAACCGACACAGGUAGUCAAGAUGAGAAUUCUAAGGUGAGCGAGCGAACUCUCGUUAAGGAACUCGGCAAAAUGACCCCGUAACUUCGGGAGAAGGGGUGCUCUUUAGGGUUCACGCCCAGAAGAGCCGCAGUGAAUAGGCCCAAGCGACUGUUUAUCAAAAACACAGGUCUCUGCUAAACCGUAAGGUGAUGUAUAGGGGCUGACGCCUGCCCGGUGCUGGAAGGUUAAGAGGAGUGGUUAGCUUCUGCGAAGCUACGAAUCGAAGCCCCAGUAAACGGCGGCCGUAACUAUAACGGUCCUAAGGUAGCGAAAUUCCUUGUCGGGUAAGUUCCGACCCGCACGAAAGGCGUAACGAUUUGGGCACUGUCUCAACGAGAGACUCGGUGAAAUCAUAGUACCUGUGAAGAUGCAGGUUACCCGCGACAGGACGGAAAGACCCCGUGGAGCUUUACUGUAGCCUGAUAUUGAAAUUCGGCACAGCUUGUACAGGAUAGGUAGGAGCCUUUGAAACGUGAGCGCUAGCUUACGUGGAGGCGUUGGUGGGAUACUACCCUAGCUGUGUUGGCUUUCUAACCCGCACCACUUAUCGUGGUGGGAGACAGUGUCAGGCGGGCAGUUUGACUGGGGCGGUCGCCUCCUAAAAGGUAACGGAGGCGCUCAAAGGUUCCCUCAGAAUGGUUGGAAAUCAUUCAUAGAGUGUAAAGGCAUAAGGGAGCUUGACUGCGAGACCUACAAGUCGAGCAGGGUCGAAAGACGGACUUAGUGAUCCGGUGGUUCCGCAUGGAAGGGCCAUCGCUCAACGGAUAAAAGCUACCCCGGGGAUAACAGGCUUAUCUCCCCCAAGAGUUCACAUCGACGGGGAGGUUUGGCACCUCGAUGUCGGCUCAUCGCAUCCUGGGGCUGUAGUCGGUCCCAAGGGUUGGGCUGUUCGCCCAUUAAAGCGGUACGCGAGCUGGGUUCAGAACGUCGUGAGACAGUUCGGUCCCUAUCCGUCGUGGGCGUAGGAAAUUUGAGAGGAGCUGUCCUUAGUACGAGAGGACCGGGAUGGACAUACCUCUGGUGUACCAGUUGUCGUGCCAACGGCAUAGCUGGGUAGCUAUGUAUGGACGGGAUAAGUGCUGAAAGCAUCUAAGCAUGAAGCCCCCCUCAAGAUGAGAUUUCCCAACUUCGGUUAUAAGAUCCCUCGAAGAUGACGAGGUUAAUAGGUUCGAG